GCGAGCGAACGGGGAGCAGCCCAGAGCCUGAAUCAGUGUGUGUGUUAGUGGAAGCGUCUGGAAAGGCGCGCGAUACAGGGUGACAGCCCCGUACACAAAAAUGCACAUGCUGUGAGCUCGAUGAGUAGGGCGGGACACGUGGUAUCCUGUCUGAAUAUGGGGGGACCAUCCUCCAAGGCUAAAUACUCCUGACUGACCGAUAGUGAACCAGUACCGUGAGGGAAAGGCGAAAAGAACCCCGGCGAGGGGAGUGAAAAAGAACCUGAAACCGUGUACGUACAAGCAGUGGGAGCACAGAGCAAUCUGUGUGACUGCGUACCUUUUGUAUAAUGGGUCAGCGACUUAUAUUCUGUAGCAAGGUUAACCGAAUAGGGGAGCCGAAGGGAAACCGAGUCUUAACUGGGCGUUAAGUUGCAGGGUAUAGACCCGAAACCCGGUGAUCUAGCCAUGGGCAGGUUGAAGGUUGGGUAACACUAACUGGAGGACCGAACCGACUAAUGUUGAAAAAUUAGCGGAUGACUUGUGGCUGGGGGUGAAAGGCCAAUCAAACCGGGAGAUAGCUGGUUCUCCCCGAAAGCUAUUUAGGUAGCGCCUCGUGAAUUCAUCUCCGGGGGUAGAGCACUGUUUCGGCAAGGGGGUCAUCCCGACUUACCAACCCGAUGCAAACUGCGAAUACCGGAGAAUGUUAUCACGGGAGACACACGGCGGGUGCUAACGUCCGUCGUGAAGAGGGAAACAACCCAGACCGCCAGCUAAGGUCCCAAAGUCAUGGUUAAGUGGGAAACGAUGUGGGAAGGCCCAGACAGCCAGGAUGUUGGCUUAGAAGCAGCCAUCAUUUAAAGAAAGCGUAAUAGCUCACUGGUCGAGUCGGCCUGCGCGGAAGAUGUAACGGGGCUAAACCAUGCACCGAAGCUGCGGCAGCGACGCUUAUGCGUUGUUGGGUA
This 944-nucleotide ribosomal RNA is filed under the name Escherichia coli. RNAcentral describes it as "partial 23S ribosomal RNA". It matches the Rfam family "Bacterial large subunit ribosomal RNA", at positions 249 to 1230 of the family's 2925-position model. The record is from RNAcentral. Lineage: Bacteria; Pseudomonadati; Pseudomonadota; Gammaproteobacteria; Enterobacterales; Enterobacteriaceae.